Molecule: long non-coding RNA, 323 nt
Organism: Cotesia glomerata
Lineage: Eukaryota; Metazoa; Arthropoda; Insecta; Hymenoptera; Braconidae
Exons: 2
Source: RefSeq, a predicted model, not a curated record
CAUCCCGUGCUAACGCUGAAUGAGGAUCUGCUGUACCACUCCGAUACCGCGAGCUCAACAAAUGCUUCAUUUUUUCCGACUAAACAAUAACACUAUUACAAUGUCACGUGCUUGCAAUUCUCCCUCCAAGUAUCCAAGAAGCUUCAACAGAUCCGUUUUACUCAACUCCAUUUUGGGAUUUCUCUAAAAAAUAAAAUUGUUAAAUAUUAUUAAAUAAAUAGACAAUACCUGAGAAAUUUCAUCAAGAUACAAUUGUAAAUAUUUUUAAACACUUUGAGAUAAACCAUUGCUUGUAUUUCACGGUCGUUAAUUAUCUCUGACAU